UACGUAGGGGGGCAAGCGUUGUCCGGAAUCAUUGGGCGUAAAGAGCGCGUAGGCGGCCCUGUAAGUCCGCUGUGAAAGUCAAGGGCUCAACCCUUGAAUGCCGGUGGAUACUGCAGGGCUAGAGUCCGGAAGAGGCGAGUGGAAUUCCUGGUGUAGCGGUGAAAUGCGCAGAUAUCAGGAGGAACACCGAUGGCGAAGGCAGCUCGCUGGGACGGUACUGAGCUGAGGCGCGAAAGCGUGGGGG
This 244-nucleotide ribosomal RNA is filed under the name uncultured bacterium. Its description in RNAcentral is "partial 16S ribosomal RNA". It matches the Rfam family "Bacterial small subunit ribosomal RNA", at positions 524 to 767 of the family's 1533-position model. The record is from RNAcentral.